RNAcentral lists this ribosomal RNA (369 nucleotides) under uncultured bacterium. RNAcentral's name for it is "bacterial SSU rRNA". It matches the Rfam family "Bacterial small subunit ribosomal RNA", at positions 527 to 896 of the family's 1533-position model. The record is from RNAcentral.
GUANGGNCCGAGCGUUAAUCGGAAUUACUGGGCGUAAAGCGUGCGCAGGCGGUUUUGUAAGCCAGAUGUGAAAGCCCCGGGCUUAACCUGGGAAUGGCAUUUGGGACUGCAAGGCUGGAGUACGGCAGAGGGAGGUGGAAUUCCAGGUGUAGCAGUGAAAUGCGUAGAGAUCUGGAGGAACACCGAUGGCGAAGGCAGCCUCCUGGGCUAGUACUGACGCUCAUGCACGAAAGCGUGGGGAGCAAACAGGAUUAGAUACCCUGGUAGUCCACGCCCUAAACGAUGUCAACUAGGUGUUGGGAGCGCAAGUUCUUGGUACCGCAGCUAACGCGUGAAGUUGACCGCCUGGGGAGUACGGUCGCAAGAUUA